Molecule: ribosomal RNA, 511 nt
Filed under: uncultured bacterium
Lineage: Bacteria
Description: bacterial SSU rRNA
Rfam family: Bacterial small subunit ribosomal RNA
Source: RNAcentral
CCUCUGUUACAAGCUCCUGCUUCUGGAUGAGCCCGCGUCCCAUCAGCUAGUUGGUAGGGUAAUGGCCUACCAAGGCUACGACGGGUAGCUGGUCUAAGAGGAUGGCCAGCCACACUGGAACUGAGACACGGUCCAGACUCCUACGGGAGGCAGCAGUGGGGAAUCUUGCGCAAUGGGCGAAAGCCUGACGCAGCGACGCCGCGUGGGUGACGAAGGCCUUCGGGUUGUAAAGCCCUGUGGGGUAGAACGAACUGGCAUCGGGCUAAUAUCCCCGGUGUCUUGACGGUACUGCCUUAGCAAGCAUCGGCUAACUCUGUGCCAGCAGCCGCGGUAAGACAGAGGAUGCGAACGUUGCUCGGAUUUACUGGGCGUAAAGCGCGUGUAGGCGGUCUCGUUAGUCGGGUGUGAAAGCCCCGGGCUCAACCCGGGAAGUGCACCCGAUACUGCGAGACUGGGGUACUGAAGAGGAGAGCGGAAUUCCCGGUGUAGAGGUGAAAUUCGUAGAUAUCGG